Molecule: ribosomal RNA, 537 nt
Filed under: Cytobacillus firmus
Lineage: Bacteria; Bacillati; Bacillota; Bacilli; Caryophanales; Bacillaceae
Description: bacterial SSU rRNA
Rfam family: Bacterial small subunit ribosomal RNA
Source: RNAcentral
UGGAGAGUUUGAUCCUGGCUCAGGACGAACGCUGGCGGCGUGCCUAAUACAUGCAAGUCGAGCGGACGGAUGGGAGCUUGCUCCCAGACCGUCAGCGGCGGACGGGUGAGUAACACGUGGGCAACCUGCCUGUAAGACUGGGAUAACUCCGGGAAACCGGGGCUAAUACCGGAUAACUCUUUUCCUCACAUGAGGRAAAGCUGAAAGAUGGCAUCUCGCUAUCACUUACAGAUGGGCCCGCGGCGCAUUAGCUAGUUGGUGAGGUAACGGCUCACCAAGGCAACGAUGCGUAGCCGACCUGAGAGGGUGAUCGGCCACACUGGGACUGAGACACGGCCCAGACUCCUACGGGAGGCAGCAGUAGGGAAUCUUCCGCAAUGGACGAAAGUCUGACGGAGCAACGCCGCGUGAGUGAUGAAGGUUUUCGGAUCGUAAAACUCUGUUGUCAGGGAAGAACAAGUACCGGAGUAACUGCCGGUACCUUGACGGUACCUGACCAGAAGCCAACGGCUAACUAACGUGCCAGCAGCCGCGGUA